AUUGAACGCUGGCGGCAUGCUUUACACAUGCAAGUCGAACGGUAACAGGCCUUCGGGUGCUGACGAGUGGCGAACGGGUGAGUAAUGCAUCGGAACGUGCCCAGAGGUGGGGGAUAACGCAGCGAAAGCUGUGCUAAUACCGCAUGUGAUCUGAGGAUGAAAGCGGGGGACCAAGCAGCAAUGUUUGGCCUCGCGCCUCUGGAGCGGCCGAUGUCAGAUUAGGUAGUUGGUGGGGUAAAGGCCUACCAAGCCGACGAUCUGUAGCUGGUCUGAGAGGACGACCAGCCACACUGGGACUGAGACACGGCCCAGACUCCUACGGGAGGCAGCAGUGGGGAAUUUUGGACAAUGGGCGCAAGCCUGAUCCAGCAAUGCCGCGUGCGGGAAGAAGGCCUUCGGGUUGUAAACCGCUUUUGUAAGGAACGAAAAGGCUCUGGCUAAUACCUGGGGCUGAUGACGGUACCGUAAGAAUAAGCACCGGCUAACUACGUG
Molecule: ribosomal RNA, 492 nt
Filed under: uncultured bacterium
Lineage: Bacteria
Description: partial 16S ribosomal RNA
Rfam family: Bacterial small subunit ribosomal RNA
Source: RNAcentral